GAGGCUGAGCAGGAGAGGCUGCUGGAGGGGCAGUGGGUUCUGCUUCCAGCCUUGUCACCUGUCCUCCAUCAGGGUCUGUAAGGCAGGGUGGGCAGAGAUGGAUUAGGGGCAGCAUCACACCCACCAGGCACCCCAUGAUGAAAAGCAGACGCUCACCUUUACAAGCACAGGAUACUCUGGAAUGACUUUUACAAAGCCAAGUGGUAAACAUGACAGCUGCUGUUAUUAAGAUUUCCAACAAACAGUAACUUUAAAGAUUAUCUGAUCUGAAAUCUCGCCAUUGGAGAACUCCAGACAUCGAUAUGAUUAUUACACAAUAGACAUUCUUUUCAAGACUUCCACUACACUAUAUAUUUGGAUUUUACAUCACUGAAAGAUGUUAAUGAUUUUACAUAAAAAUUGAAGUUCAGGAAGCACUGCUGUGUGUCUGAACUGAAUAAAGUUUAUCUAAAGGAAAGCUAACUGCAAAAUAGAAAAUGACUCUAAAAAGGAAAGGUAUUCCAUUAACAAUUUUACAAAUCCUCUUCUGAAAAGUUAAAAUGGUCUUGAUUUGGAUAAAUUUAAUACCCACCUUGAUAUCAUACUAUAGAUAUACAAAAAUUAAGCAUAAUCUAAGUUUCCUGAGGGGUUGUUUUUCUUUACAUUAUUAACCUGUCCAAUUUCCAGGGAAAACAUCCAUGCAUCAUUACCCACCAAAAAACUUCACAGAAACUACAGAAAAAUUGAAGAAAUGCUUCGUAGAUCAGUAAAGGUGGCAGAAAGACACCAUCAGUCAUGGAUUUUCUCCCCGUUUUCCUCACCUGGAGAGCAGCUGGUCCCAUCUUCUUGCAAAGUGAAUUCCGGGAAACAGGAGCACUUGUAGGACCCCACAGUGUUUAUACACAAAUGCUGACAGAGUUCCCCACCGUAGAGAAGACAUUCAUCCAGGUCAUCUCCAGGCAGGUUAUUUGACAGCUCAGCUUCAUUGCUGAUGGACAAAGCUUCAUUGUGAUCUUCCGUCUCUGAAACUAACAGAGAACAAAACAUGCUGGUUCUCUAACAGGUGCUUUGGCAUUAGCUCUGUAAGAAUGGAGCAUUUGCUCACACAAACUCCAGAUACAGUAAAAUCUACCCAAAACAGUUACUUCAAGGAUAAGAGAAAAUCCAUCCAUCCUGAAGAUAAGACCACUGUGCUGGACACAUCCACUACCUCUUUCUGCAAGGCUGGACGGACAGACAUUUCACAGGAGCCAUGGAGGAAAAGACCUUGAGAGGUCACAAGCUCAACUUUCAUGCUCACUAACACCAUUGCUGUUAUUUGUACCAAGGCAUCACAUUGAAGUUUCAUCUGAAACUGUCCCCACUGCAACACCACAUUCAAUUUUUAAAUUUCAGAAGAAAAAGUUAACCAGUUAGUUUGGAGACUCUUCAACUAACCACUGUUAACUGGUUAGCUACUUCUGCAGCUAACAAUAUAGCAAAUAUUAAUAGCAUAACAAAUAUUCCAGGACCCACUCCAUACUGACAUGGCUAUCCCAUUUACUGCUUUUGAACACUGGCAAAAGCACUAUCCUUCUUUUCAGUUCUUGACCAAGUUUGACAAGAUUUUCUGUGAUAUUAAAUGAAUUGUUCAGUAAGUUUCUCAGUCAGCUUUUCUUAAACACAUAUAUGUAAACUUCCUCGGUCAGUGUAGUCUCAGCUAGGUUGAAAUAAAUCCUUACUCUUUUUGGCAAGAGAAAAUACACAUUUCGUUCAUGAGAGGAGAAUGGUCAAAAUUUGAACCCUUGCAUAUCCAGGAGGUUACCGAGCAAUUCAUGCGUGACAGGUGGCUACAGAAUGAUGCUGGAAGGAGCGUGGCCUUGGGCUGAGGGAAGCGUAGCUGUCCAAGCUCCAGAUUUGUCAUGCUCCCUUUGUCAUGCCUCUUUUACAGCAGGGAUUUGACCUAGCUCUUCAGCAUCACCAUGCUCAUAUGUUGGAAGAAUAAAACCUCAAUUACAGUGCUCUGGGGCUUCUCCAGUGUAUACUGUGGGAAAGGUCCUGCGACGUUCAGGAGUACAAUAGGAAAUCUAAUUCCUGGAGGUUUCAUUGCUAACAUAAAGCAUGGGCCUACUUUGUCUGGAAAAAACUCAUGGCUUGUUUCACACAAAAUCUUUCAGGACUGCUAAAAGAAAAUCAACAGCUUCAGCUUUGCUUCUUACAAAGGGUGGUGGCUUCCUGCCCACCAGUGGUCUAAAAAGGUCUUUAAGGUUUUUGUUUGUUUGUUUGUUUAAAAAAAAAAAAAAAAAAGAAACUGACAGGUAGGUCUCAUCUCUCAUCUAGCUGGUCUUCACGGCAUACUCUGCAUAUCACCCAGAAGCAGCAGCACUUCUGUUUGUUAUCUGGCAGGUCCCUGCACUAUGCAAUCAAGGGAGUGGAAGGGGGGUGGGGAAUGCAAACACUACAGGAAAGGUAUGUUCUGGGGAUCAGUGUGAGACAGAGACUGUAUCUGCAACGUCUUCAAAUUAAAAAUGGACACUAACCCUUCUCAGGUGUCACUGUUGGCAAAGGUUCGGGAUGCUUUUUUAUUUCUGGCUGGAUGAAGUGAUCUCCCCCUUCACAGCAGGACAGCAUCACAUGGCUGCAGGGAUAGCCCAGAUUUAUGUUGGACUCACAGGUUUUCCCCUCACUCCUCAAUCGCAGGCCCAGA
Long non-coding RNA from Anas platyrhynchos (mallard), 2665 nucleotides. RefSeq lists it as uncharacterized. Lineage: Eukaryota; Metazoa; Chordata; Aves; Anseriformes; Anatidae. The record is from RefSeq and is a predicted model, not a curated record.